CUGUGUCAAAAUACUGCACAUAUGAAAUAUAUGCUCAGUGCACAUCAAGUCAUCACACCAACACAAUACUAAGAACAAACAGAUAGUACUAAAACAUUACAGAUGAUAAAAUUUGGAAUCACUGUUACAUCAAAUUUGUGCAUAUAUUACUAAAACAUUACAGAUGAUAAAAUUUUGCAUCACACGCUCCAUCAAAAUUAAGCUGGCCAGUAACCCCAGCUUGAUAUUGGACGGACAUUCAUCAAAGGGAUCCUGAAUGUGAGAUACUACAUCUACAAAUAGAAAACAACAAAAUUUGUAAGAACCUGGUUCACAAUACAUAGAAAACUUCCAUAGAGGAACAUCUAGUAAUUCCUUGUAAAUCCUAAUAACAUACUGAAUCAUGGUCCAAACUAAGUUUAAAAAAUAGAGUACAACAAAGUUUCAUUACAAUAAAUUCAUUACAUUUAAAAUAGGGACUUCACACAUCCUAACUGCUCCAUCUCCCAAAUUCUAAUUACAAAUUUUUCCGGAUCUUCUUUUAUAGAGAAGGUUCCAAAGAUAUUCCAAAGUAGAAAAAUCAUGGGUUAUGAGCAAAUACCCCCUAUCAAGUAAGAUGAAUAGAAUCUUGUCAUCUAUAACGCUCGAGAAAUUCGGAUUUUUCAAUGAAUUAAAUUUUUAUUUGAUUAUGUGGAUUAAAUGCAUUUAAUUGAGUUAUUAUGUAAAUAAGAUACUCGAAGGCCGUUCUAUGACCUAGAAUGUGUGGAUGUGGUUAGUAUUCUGGCUUUGUGCUAGAAUUAAUUGUUGUGAAAUAUCAAGACGAGAACGAAGGUUUUUCGAGAAUGUUUGCGUAAAAACACUAUUCACCCGAUUUCGUUCGGAGCUAGGAUUUGAGAUUCUGAGAAACGCGUAAUGUUAGAAUAUUAUGAUAGUAUGGAAUAUCCAAUAAUAAUUCCGUCAUGGCAAACGAAGUUUUCGCAUGCGGACUUAAAACCUAAGGGUUGAGUAUAUUGAUUUCCGAGAAGGAAAUGAAACGCAUGGAAGAAAUUGCGUUAGGGUUAAGGCAUGUGUUAUGCAAUUAAGAUAUUAUUUAGUAUCUAGGUAUAAUAUGAUAAGUCAAUACAGAGUACAAUACGAUAAUCAUACUAGUAUUAUAUGGAAAGAAUACGUGAAGUAUACGUAGGGAAUACGAGUUGUAUUCUAGAAUUAAGUUAAGACUUAAUGUUAAUUCAUUUGGUUGGAUUAUGUUUAGCCCAAUCAAUUGAAUGAGCAAGCCUAAGGGAUUAAGUGGUAAGCCCAAGUUAAGGCCCAAUAUUAGAUUGAUUAAGCCCAAUGCAAGAAAACUGAACCGUGGAUCGAACCAGUGGGUCACCGAAUGGGUAAAACCCAUGGGGCAACCCAUGGGCAAGGUGGGCCGACCACUUGGUGUGCAAGGCAAGCACAUCACUUGGUCACCAAGUAUUUUACUUGGUGACAAAGUGGUAAAUAAGUAAGGAGGUGGGGAGAUGGACAAUUUUGCCCCUCAUUUGGUUUUCUAUAUAUACAAAGCUAGGUUGGUCAUUUGAAGUUUUUACAAAGCUUGUCCAACAUAUUUGAGAGAGAGAAAAGAGCUAGAAACUUAUAAUCCUUCUACUUCCAAGCAAACCAUUAGACGUUUAUCAAGAACGUUAACUACUUCAAAGGUAAAUUUUCAUAAACCGUAAUCUUCAUCUUUUUCGAUUUCUUUCUCAUAGAAGAAUCGUAGAUGGGUGGAGCAUGUUUAUUGAGGAGAGAUAAGGAUUCCUAGUAAUGGCCAAAUCAUUGAUAGGUCAUGACCAAAUAGAAAUUGUAAGUGGUUACGUGAGUUAAAACCAUAAAAAGUCUUGAACAUGAACUUAGUUUUGAAUGAACGUUUAAGAAUCGAUAUAGCUAAGGAAUGUGCCUAUUGCUUGGUUAGGAUGUAGAUAUGAAGUCCAUGGAGUAUUCCAUGUGAUUUGGCUUAGAGAACAUUAGUAACGAAGUUAUGGCGGAUUUUGCGGAAAUAUACGUUAAACGUCAAAAACGUAUAAAGUCCGGAUUAAAGGUCAAAAGUUGUCGUGUGACUUGAAAACGUUGAUUUUCAAUGUCAACACGUGAGAUAAGGUAAUUAAGAGUCGUUAGCGAAAGAAUCGUCGCAUUCCGACUUAUAACGAAGAAAACGAGUAUUGAACGAACGAAAACGUUAAACGAACGCUUAAAAAUGAACUUAAAGGUGAAUUCCGAGUUAACGAAUUCGAAAAAGUAAAAUUCUUAUACGAACACGUAAAGGAUGUAAUUUGCGACUUGUAGGAAUUCGAAUGGGUCAAUUCAUAUGUAAAACAAACAAAUUAGGAAGCCGAGAGUUUCGUUAAGAAACCAAACUGUUUUGGCUAACUGGUGCACAGGUUCGGCGCCGCAGCGCCAAACCCAGUGUUUUCUGCCACGCCGCAGCGCCAGUUAUGGCCGGGAGAAAAUAAAAAGGUCUGGAGACUCGCGUCGCAGCGCGAGAGUUUGUACAUAGACUUGCGCCGCAGCACCAAGUCCGGGCAAAACCUCUGGAGAGUGGCGCCGCAGCGCCACUAGAAUACAUAGGAUGUCGCGCCGCAGCGCCGACAGUAGAAAAAUGUUGACCAAGUUAGGUUUUAUUCCAAUUUGGAUGUAGACCUAAAGUAAGAUAUGGGAAGUACUUAAUGUACAUGAUAAGACUUACCUUAGAUCACUUAUAAGUUGUUAAGGUAAGAAGAUCUAGUAAGGUUUAAUAGAAAUUAAACGAAGAACGUGAGAACGAAAUACGUGCACCAGGAAUAAUGUUAAACUUUGGUAGUUUACCAAUAAUGAUCGAAUGUCGGUUUAAUAAUGACGUAAGAACAUUAAUGAAACGUAAUGAAGUGUAGAAAGUUAAAUCGACUUUAUUAAUGGAGUUAAUUCAAAUAAAACGUAGAAGAGAAAGAAGUUGGUUAGAACCGUAAAGUUAGUUUGUUUGAUAACUAAUUACCGUGUGCUAUGUGAAUGUAUCAUGUAGAUCUUGUAAAGACUGAGAAUAGUUGAAUUGUAUAUUCGAAGACGCUUGAAGGCAAAUCUUUCUUAACACUUGCCUAACCUUCGUGUUAGCUAAGUUUUUACGUGAUGCAUGUUAUACAAUGCAUGAAUGGUAAAUAGAAAAGAGUCGAUGCCUGUUUUAUUCGGGCUAGACAAGUAUUGGAGAGUUGAUUGAUUUGUUUACAAGUCUGUCGAUAUAGAACUGUUAACGCUAUCCUAUGCCAAGUAUUUGGUACGGAUGAGAAGGUAAGUUUGUCUAUGUACAAACAAAAGUAUUUUCAUCGAUUAUUCGAUGGGCACGCGAGGUUGCCAAAUGUUGAACGUAAAUACGUUUAACGUAACAGUGUUGAUCAACAUAGAGUACAAUAGGCUGAUCACCUAGAAGUGCUCGUAAGUAAAGACGGGUGGAUGGCCUUAGUGCCAGAUAUCCUUUUCAAGUAUGAAAACGAAAAGAGUAUGUUCCUGGUCUAUUGACCGGUUCAUCAUUCCUAAGCUAUUAUUUAUGCUCUGGAAUUGCUGUAUGAGAAGUAUUAGUCAAAUGUUUCAUAACGCUUCGUAGAUAAUUGUUCAGAUAUGGGAAUAAAGUAUGUAUUUGUUGAUGUAAUAUUCAUAUGAUUCAGUGUUAAGACUUGCUAAGCUAGUUAUGCUCAUUCUUGCUUGAACCAUAUGUUUGCAGCUAAAGCCGAACGAACUGAGAGUUCAAAGAGAGAUAAAGGCAAGGCUAAGAUGGACAAUUAAUCGUCCUGUAAUAGACUAGUAUAUUUAUAUGUAAGAUACUUAUGAAGAACAACGAAUGUAUUCAGUUAUGAACCUGGGAAAGAAUUUAUUACAAAUGUAAUACAAAGAUAGUAAUUACACUCAUUUUGUUGUUAUCUCAAUGGAAUGAUUGUAUGGAUUGUAGUAUCGUGGAGCACCAUCUGUCGGGUUGGAAGAUACCCGAAUUUGGGGGCGUCACAUCAUGCCUCUUUGCUUCUGUUAGCUUUUUCUCCCAACCAUCUUUCGUAGUGACCAAUUGAACAUUUCCACCAGCGAACUCAACAUGAUGAUCAGACUCCUCUCCAUCAUUUCCAUUCUACAAGUAAUAAGGGGAGAUCAUUAUUCACUGUCCAUUCUACACACCACUUAUCAUUUGCCAAUAUGGACCUUACACCACUUAUCAUUUGUCAUUUUAUCACACCACUUACCAUUUGUCUUCCCACUGGUUUGGAAAGGGAGAGACUCAUAUAGUUUGGACAGGAAGAGUUAAAAGAAGAAACUACAUAAUUGAACCAAAAACAUUGUGUCCUACAACAGUGUGGCACAAGGAAAAAUGAAGAAAAGAAAAUAAAAGGAAAAUAAUAGUACCCAAUAACAACUAGAUAUACCAUGUAUAAACUAUAAAGCAAAUACUAAAGUACACCUUUUGUUGUGAUCGGGUAUAAUUAGUUUGCUAAAAUUUUCUUUCUUGUAUUUUGCUAAUGUGGAGUGCAUCUUUGAUUUACCUUGGAGAAACACAUUCCCAUUUUGACCUUAUGAACAGAGGUGAGGAAUUGUACCAGCUGUACUGAAAUUGAAUUGAGCUAUUAAAUGAUAAUAUUAGUGCCAUUUCUUGUAAGUAAUACAGACUACAGAAUCCAGAUCAAUCCCCAAGCCAAGAGCUGGUGAAAAUGUCAAAGCAUAAACACAUACUAGAUAGAGAAUCCCAUCAAAACUAAAGAAUAAGUUGGAGAGUUGAGUGAAUGUCAUAGACUGAAUAUGAUAUAUUACUAAUUCUAAAUAAUAAAUAUAGUCUGAAUUGUUUACAUGAGCGGGAGUUUACAUGACAACAACUAAAAGAAACAAAUCAUGGGUAUUCUUGAAGAAAUUGAAAUGAAUCGGAUGUUACAAGUGAAACAAAUUGGAAUUAAUGCUAAAUACCCACUAAAACUCCUACACAGAAAUAAUUAAACCACAUAAAUUAAUUGGGUAGUUAUAACAGUGUGACAACAAAGUUACGAACUAAUUAACCAUUAAUUAGCGUUUCUUGUUCAGAUGCAAAAACAAAUUACAUUUACAACUCGCAAGAAAUGAAGAGUGUAAAACCGCACCAGGGAUUGGUAGAUAUGAAGCUUUCUGAGGUGAGCUCGCUCGUUCCAAGGAUUCGAUCAAUUAUUCGGGCGGAAAAAGGUUGAAACUUGGAAUCGGAAGAAUCCCAAUUAAGCUAGAUCUAGAUAUAGAUAGAUGGGAAUUCCAAUUUUCAGUACCUAAUUUUUUGUAGGGAGUUGUAGAUGAUGAAUGCGUCGUAAUAUAUAGACCGAGUACUAUUGUGGGUUAUGUGGGUUGUUUUGUUUCUUUCUAGGGCUUCAUUGUAGUUCGAUUUGAAGAUGGAAGUAUGAAGCUCAACUUUGAGGAGAGAGAAGGUUAAAAAUGAAAAAUACGGAAGCCUUAUGUAGG
RNAcentral lists this long non-coding RNA (5427 nucleotides) under Panax ginseng (ginseng). RNAcentral's name for it is "long non-coding RNA (PGIN_LNC010418)". Lineage: Eukaryota; Viridiplantae; Streptophyta; Magnoliopsida; Apiales; Araliaceae. The record is from RNAcentral.